Molecule: ribosomal RNA, 405 nt
Filed under: uncultured bacterium
Lineage: Bacteria
Description: bacterial SSU rRNA
Rfam family: Bacterial small subunit ribosomal RNA
Source: RNAcentral
AGUGAACGCUGGCGGCAGGCCUAACACAUGCAAGUCGAGCGGCAGCGCGUCCGACCACCCUCGGGUGGUCGGAUGGCGGCGAGCGGCGGACGGGUGAGGAAUGCAUCGGAAUCUGCCUCGUUGUGGGGGAUAACGUAGGGAAACUUACGCUAAUACCGCAUACGACCUACGGGUGAAAGUGGGGGACCUUCGGGCCUCACGCGAUGAGAUGAGCCGAUGCCGGAUUAGCUAGUUGGCGGGGUAAAGGCCCACCAAGGCGACGAUCCGUAGCUGGUCUGAGAGGAUGAUCAGCCACACUGGAACUGAGACACGGUCCAGACUCCUACGGGAGGCAGCAGUGGGGAAUAUUGGACAAUGGGGGCAACCCUGAUCCAGCCAUGCCGCGUGUGUGAAGAAGGCCUUCGG